UUUUAUGGAGAGUUUGAUCCUGGCUCAGAGUGAACGCUGGCGGCGUGCCUAAUACAUGCAAGUCGAACGAUGAAGCUUCUAGCUUGCUAGAAGUGGAU
RNAcentral lists this ribosomal RNA (98 nucleotides) under Campylobacter coli. RNAcentral describes it as "partial 16S ribosomal RNA". It matches the Rfam family "Bacterial small subunit ribosomal RNA", at positions 1 to 92 of the family's 1533-position model. RNAcentral also lists the same sequence under 1 other name. Lineage: Bacteria; Pseudomonadati; Campylobacterota; Epsilonproteobacteria; Campylobacterales; Campylobacteraceae. The record is from RNAcentral.